AUCCAGCUGACGAGCCAGAAAUGUGGCGAAACGCUCGUCCUGGAU
This 45-nucleotide non-coding RNA is filed under the name Schistosoma mattheei. The record is from RNAcentral. Lineage: Eukaryota; Metazoa; Platyhelminthes; Trematoda; Strigeidida; Schistosomatidae.